GGAUGUCGGUGUAUACGGCCGCGAGUCCGCGACAGUGAUGCUGGAGUUUUUGCCCGCACGGAUUUCUCAGAGGGCAGCUCCCUCUUCCAGCUCACGCUCCUCUGCCCGGGAUUGACAUUUGGACCCCACCAGUGUUUGUGGCUGAUGAGGCCUUCCCGCAGAAGGUGAACCUGAUGCGUCCAUAUCCGGUGACAAGGACACCUAAGAACAGUACACUUGAGAUGUUAUUGGAGAGACUGACCGCAUCAUCAAAACCUGCCAGCUUAAACAUACCUUGGACCAUAACCACUUGGCCUUCUCAACAAACAGCUCAGACAGAUGGGAGUUCUCUGCAUUGAGCAGGGCAUUGAAGGCUGUCUGGUGGAGGCCAGCUCUCCUUGCCACCCUUGAACUCUUCAGCCAGCACUCACCCACCUGCUCCUCACAACUUGACCUGCUAAAAUGAAGAAAAACGGUCUAUACUGGCUUCCAGUAAAUCACAGAAUUAACUUACAGUCUGCUAUUAAUCAUUUGGUGGGACAGGAGAAGACUACUCAUAAAAUCUGUUCAGCAGCAGCACACAAUGCUAAGUAACUGUUAGUUGUUAUGUUGCUGAAUUCUGGAGCCAAAUUCCAGAUUAACAUGAAGAACUGUUCUUAGAUACUUGCUGCUAACUGAUCAGAGGCAUUACUUUUUUUUAUAUAAGAUACUCUCUAAGAUUUGCAUAUUGUAUUAUGUUAUAAUAAUGAUUUCAAUACAGAAUACUAAACCAGCUGGUUGUGAAAACCUAUCAACGGUGAAGUGGAUAGACACCACGCUUUGGAGGAGUGUAAACAAGUGACACUUCACUUUGCCAGAAAGGUUGCUUUGGCUAAUCUUAGUCAGGCCAUCUGCAAGCUGCAUCCUGACUGCAUUGUCCAUGUCAGAGCUCUGCUGUGUAGGCAAAUGAGAACAAUGGGAUCUCCUCUCCACCCCUGACAAAGGGGGCGUGGUCACUGGGACAUCCUCAUCCUCAUCUUUGCCCAUCCACAUCCUCAUCUUUGCCCAUGCUAAAAGCUGGUAAUGAAUAUUCUCACGGGUGUUGUUCAGCCGUAGCUACGAGGCCGGAGGCCGAGUGGCGCAGGCAACCCCACGAUCACGAGUGCUAUAUUGCUUUUUUUAUACAACAAUUCUAUCACUUGUUUUGCAUUAAUUUCCCAUUAUAAUGUUAACGUUUAAAUUGCUAAAACUGUCUUGUUUGUAGAAUUACUUCUUUCCGCCACAUAUCAACUAAUUUCAAAAUGUGCAGGACAAACUGCCGCUACUAGUUCUAAAUGGAUGGUUGCUACGGCCAAAGGCCAGUCUUUAGUUCUAAAUGGAUGGUUGCUGUGGCCAAAAGCCAAUUAUUAGUUCCAUCUCUCCCGUUGUCAAGCGGGCAUAUCCCAGUAUUCUGAUGAACCUUACACCUUACUCCUAACAGGAUAUGAGCGAGCGACUGUCAAUGUUGUAUAUCUACACCAAACUCCACCGGCUUCGUCAUAUGCUAUGUUCUGAGUGUCUGUAUUUCAGCUUGGAUGCAACAUGACAGUUCAUUUAAACUUCACGGAACUUCACAACUUCACAUUGUAUCGCGGAGUGAUUUAUUAUUAGCUGUGCAAAGUUUGAGUUGAAAUGUCCAGGGAUAUUUCAACUCAUGGAACGUCUCUCGGCCAAUCAGAAACAAAUAUAUAGUUCCAUUGAA
Sardina pilchardus (European sardine) is the source of this 1699-nucleotide long non-coding RNA. RefSeq lists it as uncharacterized. Lineage: Eukaryota; Metazoa; Chordata; Actinopteri; Clupeiformes; Clupeidae. The record is from RefSeq and is a predicted model, not a curated record. The transcript has 3 exons.